Molecule: transfer RNA, 72 nt
Filed under: Callorhinchus milii (elephant shark)
Lineage: Eukaryota; Metazoa; Chordata; Chondrichthyes; Chimaeriformes; Callorhinchidae
Description: tRNA-Gly (TCC) (tRNA-Gly-TCC-15-1)
Rfam family: tRNA
About the family: Transfer RNA (tRNA) molecules are approximately 80 nucleotides in length.
Source: Rfam by way of RNAcentral
AGUCCUGUAGCUCAGUGGUUAGAGCACUUGCCUUCCAAGCAAGACACCUGGGUUCAUUUCCCAGCAGGGCGA